Molecule: signal recognition particle RNA, 299 nt
Filed under: Microcebus murinus (gray mouse lemur)
Lineage: Eukaryota; Metazoa; Chordata; Mammalia; Primates; Cheirogaleidae
Description: Metazoan signal recognition particle RNA (ENSMICG00000030203.2)
Rfam family: Metazoan signal recognition particle RNA
About the family: The signal recognition particle (SRP) is a universally conserved ribonucleoprotein. It is involved in the co-translational targeting of proteins to membranes.
Source: RNAcentral
GUCAGGUGUGGUGGUACACACCUGUAGUCCCAGCUACUCGGUAGGCUGAGGCAGGAGGAUCACUUGAGCCCACGAGUUCUAGGUUGCAGUGAGCUAUGCCAAUCAGGUGUCUGUGCUAAGUUUGGCAUCACUAUGGUGACCUCUCAGCAGUAAAAAAACCACCAGGUUGUCUAAGGAAGGGUGAACCAGCCAGGUCAGAAACAGAGCAAGUAAAAAUUCUCAAGCUGAUCAGUAGUAGGAGUGUGGCUGUGAAUAGCCACCGCGCUCCAGCCUGGGCAACAUAGCAAGACCUGGUCUCU